GGAGAAAUAGAACUGUAGCUCUGUGGUGGAGCAUCUGCUUUGCACCAGAAGGUUCCAGGUUCAAUCCCUGGCAUCUCCA
Podarcis lilfordi (Lilford's wall lizard) is the source of this 79-nucleotide non-coding RNA. The record is from the annotation of a GenBank genome assembly. NCBI's taxonomy places the organism in Eukaryota, Metazoa, Chordata, Lepidosauria, Squamata, Lacertidae.